RNAcentral lists this long non-coding RNA (367 nucleotides) under Malus domestica (apple). RNAcentral's name for it is "long non-coding RNA (MDOM_LNC013523)". Lineage: Eukaryota; Viridiplantae; Streptophyta; Magnoliopsida; Rosales; Rosaceae. The record is from RNAcentral.
UAGUUCCAAUAUUCAUGCUUAAAUGAAAUACAUCUACAACAUUUGAGAUGCUAAAUUUUCUAGCAAAAUUUAUAAAUUCAAAAGCAAGAACAAAGCUUGUAACAUUUACAACAUUUAAAUCUCACAAAAUAUGAAAAAUCACAAAACCCAAAAGGAUUCACCAUAAACUAAGCCUAGGCUCUGAUACCACUUGAAGGAAAAAUUUUGUCCUAGCUAAGAACAAGUAUGAACAUUUGAAUACAUAUGCAUACUAUUAACUCAUUAAUAUAGGCAUGCAUCCAAAAACAAUUCAAUAAAACCCAUGACUUUUCAAAGCCUAGUAUAUGGUGAACCAAAAUAAACUCUUUAACAACAUUAAAGAGAAAGA